Molecule: small nucleolar RNA, 106 nt
Organism: Gossypium raimondii (Peruvian cotton)
Lineage: Eukaryota; Viridiplantae; Streptophyta; Magnoliopsida; Malvales; Malvaceae
Rfam family: Plant small nucleolar RNA R71
About the family: R71 is a member of the C/D box family of snoRNAs containing the C (UGAUGA) and D (CUGA) box motifs. Multiple nearly identical copies of this snoRNA have been identified in Arabidopsis, and it is thought to function as a 2'-O-ribose methylation guide for 18S ribosomal RNA.
Source: Rfam
AUUCUGUGAUGUGGGCAUUUUGUUAGCAAUAACUUAAAAGGUUCCAAUGCUUCGUAUAAGGUUUCGCCUUCAAAUUGCUUGAAGUUGGCAAUGUCGCACCUAUAUU